GGUAAAUAUCUACUAUUUCUAUGAGCUUCUGCUCAGGUUUCAGCUCCCGGAUGGACAGACUCGGUGCCCCAUCUAGCGUCCACAUGACCGAACAACCACGCCAGAGACCGGAACUUCCCCAAAUGCUGAGGCAAUCUCCCAAGCAAACAUCUCGCCCGGAAAACUGCCCCGCUCCUGCUCAAGGCUCGGCUUCGGUGAAGUAUCAGACUGAGAAAACCAGCCCUCUGUGAUGCAGUUAAUAGGUUCUGAGAGCUGUUAUCUCCUUUUCUCCCGACCUGUGCAAAUCCACCCUUCCUUGGUUGGAAAUACCUGUAACACAGCAUGGAGUAACCAUGGUCUGGACUGGUGUGCAUACACUGGAGAUCAGUUUAUCUGCACUCUUCUUCAUUUUUAUGGUGCCCAGGAUAUGGUCUGAGCAUUAUAGGCAUGUGGUCUCCAGACUUCUGAUGGCUCUGACUGACAUCCUCUGGAGUUGAUCCUGUCUGUCCACCCAUUGUUUUAAAGCACAGCUGCUACUUGGACAUAG
Molecule: long non-coding RNA, 526 nt
Organism: Pezoporus flaviventris
Lineage: Eukaryota; Metazoa; Chordata; Aves; Psittaciformes; Psittacidae
Exons: 3
Source: RefSeq, a predicted model, not a curated record